This 75-nucleotide transfer RNA is filed under the name Zetaproteobacteria bacterium. RNAcentral describes it as "tRNA-Arg". It matches the Rfam family "tRNA". Rfam says of the family: Transfer RNA (tRNA) molecules are approximately 80 nucleotides in length. Their secondary structure includes four short double-helical elements and three loops (D, anti-codon, and T loops). Further hydrogen bonds mediate the characteristic L-shaped molecular structure. tRNAs have two regions of fundamental functional importance: the anti-codon, which is responsible for specific mRNA codon recognition, and the 3' end, to which the tRNAs corresponding amino acid is attached (by aminoacyl-tRNA synthetases). tRNAs cope with the degeneracy of the genetic code in two manners: having more than one tRNA (with a specific anti-codon) for a particular amino acid; and 'wobble' base-pairing, i.e. permitting non-standard base-pairing at the 3rd anti-codon position. The record is from RNAcentral. Lineage: Bacteria; Pseudomonadati; Pseudomonadota; Candidatius Mariprofundia.
GCUCCCGUAGUUGAAUGGAUACAACAAGGUCCUCCUAAGACUUAGGUGCAGGUUCGAUUCCUGCCGGGAGCACCA